UGAGCAAUCUGCCCUUCUCUUCGGAAUAAGCGUUGGAAACGACGUCUAAUGCCGAAUACGACCUCCUUUCGCAUGAUCGGAGGUGGAAAGCUCCGGCAGAGAAGGAUGAGCUCGCGGCCUAUCAGCUAGUUGGUGUGGGUAAUGGCCCACCAAGGCGACGACGGGUAGCCGGCCUGAGAGGGUGACCGGCCACACUGGGACUGAGACACGGCCCAGACUCCUACGGGAGCAG
This 232-nucleotide ribosomal RNA is filed under the name uncultured bacterium. Its description in RNAcentral is "partial 16S ribosomal RNA". It matches the Rfam family "Bacterial small subunit ribosomal RNA", at positions 118 to 347 of the family's 1533-position model. The record is from RNAcentral.